UAUACAGGAUGAAGAGGCUCCAGGUUGUG
This 29-nucleotide non-coding RNA is filed under the name Rattus norvegicus (Norway rat). Lineage: Eukaryota; Metazoa; Chordata; Mammalia; Rodentia; Muridae. The record is from RNAcentral.